RNAcentral lists this ribosomal RNA (1707 nucleotides) under Neometanema parovale. RNAcentral's name for it is "bacterial SSU rRNA". It matches the Rfam family "Eukaryotic small subunit ribosomal RNA", at positions 545 to 1828 of the family's 1831-position model. Lineage: Eukaryota; Euglenozoa; Anisonemea; Natomonadida; Neometanemidae. The record is from RNAcentral.
CACCUGGAGGGCAAGUCUGGUGCCAGCAGCCGCGGUAAUUCCAGCUGCAGCAGUGUAUACCAACAUUGCUGCUGUUAAAAAGCUCGUAGUUGAUGGCGGAUGGCUGGACGGAAUGAGGUUUGAAGGUGCUAGGAUCACUCUUUCUUCUCUGGAGAGGGUGUUGACUGGUGCUUUCUUGUAUCACCUUUGUUUUGUCUGGCUGUCGCCGAACCGUGGAACUGUACUCCCUGUGGAGGGGUGAUCUCCUUAAUUGGGGGUUGUCCUGAAGCUGCCGUCGCACAGAACUCCUGUGUGUACAAACGACAUUGGAUCGGGUACUCUAAUUACCUGUGUCUCUGGGGAGCGUCCGUGGCCGUUACCAUGAACAAAACAGCGUGCCCAACGUGGCUGUCAUGUCGGUGGAAUGUUCGAGCGUGGGAUGACAAGUGAUCGACCAGCGUGGUGUUCCCAAUCCUUUCUGUCAGUGUUGUCCAUCCGCAUGGGGAAGCGUCGCUGUUUGGGGCCCAUUGUUCUCAAAGCGCUACUCACCUCUUUCUUCCAUCCUCCACUCUCGGAGUGUGUGGGAGAUCAAAGGAGGGGGGGAAGUGUGAUGGGAAUUCAACACCCACAGCAUCGGAAGUGAUGAGACACGUUCAGGGCUUUGUGCAUUGUGCCGCGAGAGGUGAAAUUCUCAGACCGAUACGAGGCGAACCGGAGCUAAGGCGUUAUGCAGGUGUAUGUCUGUCAAUCAAGAACGAGUGCGUGGGGAACGAAGAUGAUCAGAUACCGUUGUAGUCCACCUUGCCGUAAACGAUGCCAGCCAGAUGUCGGUGAGUUGUUCCUGCCUGGGGACGACUUCAUCGGCAUAAUUCUCCCUUCAUCGAGAAAUCCUGAGCCUUUGGGUUCAGGGGGGAGUACCGUCGCAAGGCGGAAACUUAAAGGAAUUGACGGAACGACACCACCAGACGUGGAGUAUGCGGCUUAAUUUGACUCAACACGGGGAACGUUACUGCGUCAGCACAAGGCUGGGAUGGACAGGUUGAUCGCCCUUUCUCGAUUCCUUGAACGGUGGUGCAUGGCCGCUUCUGGUUGGUGGAGUGAUUUGUCUGGCUGAUUCCGUUAACGAGCGAGAUCCCCGCCUCCAAUUGGUCACCGGCCUCGUACUUUGUAGGGGAUUCAGUCUUUCUGCUGUUCUUUUCAGUGGUUAGAUCUAUGAGCCCUGAGAGCGUCGGUGCAAAACAUCUCAGAGGGCCGGACACGCAUCCAAGUGUCGACAUAUUCAGAAGGCGACAGCAGGUCUGUGAUGCCCCCAGAUGUUCCGGGCUGCACGCGCACGACAUUGACUCGGUGAUCGCGCUGAACACACAAAAAAAGCCUCCCCUCUUUGCUUCCUCAGUGAGCAAUUUGGGGUGGGUUCCUACCUGGACGCGGAUGGGCCAUCUCAAAAGCCCGUGCCGUACUGGGGAUCGAUGGUUGCAACUGUUUGCCUUGAACGAGGAAUGCCUUGUAGGCGCAGGUCAUCAGCCUGCAUCGACUAUGUCCCUGCCAUUUGUACACACCGCCCGUCGUUGCUACCGAUGAUGUGGGGAUAGAGGACUGGAGAGGCUGUGGGAGAGACCCCUUCUCUGGGGGAAUCACUCAUUCGUGCCAAACCUGCCCAAUGUUCACGUGUUAGAGAUAGCAAAAGUCGUAACAAGGUUGUCGUAGGUGAACCUGCAGAAAGGAUCA